RNAcentral lists this transfer RNA (60 nucleotides) under uncultured Micromonas. Lineage: Eukaryota; Viridiplantae; Chlorophyta; Mamiellophyceae; Mamiellales. The record is from RNAcentral.
GCGCUCCGCCCCCGCCCCCCGGUCCGCCUUCGCCGAUAACACGGGCGACGACGAUGCUUC